GUCUCGAUUGAUUUUGUGUAUGGCACAUUUGCUGCCCAUCUGACUGAGCAUAACAACUGGUCGUCCCACCUGGGUAGGCCUCAGCAUAUUUUUACUCCACAAAGUGAAGACAAGAGUCCUUCUGUCAAUCCCUUAUUUGUUUCAGGCUGGGAUCUCUGCAAUCAGCUAGUGCUUCCAUCAAACCCUGGUUUUCGUUUUUUUUUUACGAAUCUUCUAGGAUCAACAUACCAAGAGACGUAUGUCGCGUCAUGCGCCGAUAAAGCUUCGGAAGGGUGUACAAUCACGAGUAUCAUGGGGAAGCUGGUGACCCUUCGUUACCAUCCAAAGCAAGGACGACCAUAAGAGAGAGAAAAACCUUUCAAGGACACCUUCUGAUAACUAAAGUUAUGAUUGCAGCUGCUACAAACCGAUGCUGGCCGAAGGCAGAAUUGCUACGUGGCUUGCACAAGCCCAAUCCAAGUUGGACAAAAUGAAUCAGCCAUCAACACCAGCUUCCCCAGUUACAACUACAAUCAACAAUAACUGUGAAGAUGAACCUCACGAAGGGGAUAGGCCUAUACUUGGAUAGAUCAGAAUAUAGUAGCGACAAAAAUUUUCAUAAAACUUGUCUACUUGUUUAAUUUACUCUCAUCAUAAUCAAUAAAUUAGUAAUUGAUUAUAAUCACGGGUUUUAAU
This 675-nucleotide long non-coding RNA is filed under the name Nilaparvata lugens (brown planthopper). Its description in RNAcentral is "uncharacterized LOC111057133, transcript variant X2". The record is from RNAcentral. Lineage: Eukaryota; Metazoa; Arthropoda; Insecta; Hemiptera; Delphacidae.